AAUUUUUUUUUUAAAAAAAGAACAUUAAAAUAGGCUUUCUAGAAAUUAAAGAAGACCAUAGAAGACGGAAAGAUCUACCUUGUUCUUAGAUAAGCAGAAUUAAUAUUGUCAAAAUGACCAUACUACCAAAAGCACUAUACAGAUUCAAUGCAAUCCCAAUCAAAAUCCCAAUGACAUUCCUUAUAGAAAUAGAAAAAGCAAUCAUGAAAUUCAUCUGGAAAAAUAAGAGACCCAGAAUAGCCAAAGCUAUCCUUAGCAAGAAGAGUGAAGCUUUCCUAUACCAGACCUUAAACGAUACUACCGAGCAAUAAUAACAAAACCAGCAGGAUAUUGGCAUAAAAAUAGACUGGUAGACCAAUGGAGCAGAAUAGAGGACACAGAGUCUAACUCACAUAACUACAGUUAUCUUAUAUUAGACAAAAACACUCCCCCAAAAAAAACAUUGGAGAAAAGAGAGUCUCUUCAACAAAUGGUGCUGAGAAAACUGGAAAUCCACAUGUAACAAAAUGAAAUUAAACCUCUAUCUCUCACCAUGCACAAAACUCAACUCAAAGUAGAUCAAGGAAUUAGACCAGAGACCUUGCGCCUAAUGGGAAAAAAAAGUAGGUCCAAAUUGCCAUCAUGUGGGAUUAGGCCCCAACUUCCUUAAUAAAAUUCCUUUGGCACAAGAAUUAAAACCAAGAGUCAAUAAAUGGGAUGAAUUCAAACUAAAAAGCUUCUUCUCAGCAAAAGAAACAAUCAGUGAGGUGAAUAGAGAGUCUACAGAAUGGGAGCAAAUCUUUACCACAAGCACAUCAGAUAAAGCACUAAUCUCUAGGAUAUAGAAAGAACUAAAAAAAAACUUAACACCAAAAAAAAGAAAUGACCCAAUCAAUAAAUGGACCAAGGAACUGAAC
This 896-nucleotide long non-coding RNA is filed under the name Marmota monax (woodchuck). The record is from RNAcentral. Lineage: Eukaryota; Metazoa; Chordata; Mammalia; Rodentia; Sciuridae.